RNAcentral lists this ribosomal RNA (253 nucleotides) under uncultured Acidobacteriota bacterium. RNAcentral's name for it is "uncultured Acidobacteria bacterium partial 16S ribosomal RNA". It matches the Rfam family "Bacterial small subunit ribosomal RNA", at positions 524 to 776 of the family's 1533-position model. Lineage: Bacteria; Pseudomonadati; Acidobacteriota. The record is from RNAcentral.
UACGGGGGGGGCUAGCGUUGUUCGGAAUUACUGGGCGUAAAGGGCUCGUAGGCGGCCAACUAAGUCAGACGUGAAAUCCCUCGGCUUAACCGAGGAACUGCGUCUGAGACUGGGUGGCUCGAAUCCGGGAGAGGGAUGCGGAAUUCCAGGUGUAGCGGUGAAAUGCGUAGAUAUCUGGAGGAACACCGGUGGCGAAGGCGGCAUCCUGGACCGGCAUUGACGCUGAGGAGCGAAAGCCAGGGGAGCAAACGGG